AGUGAACGCUGGCGGUAGGCCUAACACAUGCAAGUCGAACGGCAGCACAGUAAGAGCUUGCUCUUACGGGUGGCGAGUGGCGGACGGGUGAGGAAUACAUCGGAAUCUACUUUUUCGUGGGGGAUAACGUAGGGAAACUUACGCUAAUACAGCAUACGACCUACGGGUGAAAGCAGGGGAUCUUCGGACCUUGCGCGAUUGAAUGAGCCGAUGUCGGAUUAGCUAGUCGGCGGGGUAAAGGCCCACCAAGUCGACGAUACGUAGCUGGUCUGAGAGGAUGAUCAGCCACACUGGAACUUAGACACGGUCCAGACUCCUACGGGAGGCAGCAGUGGGGAAUAUUGGACAAUGGGCGCAAGCCUGAUCCAGCCAUACCGCGUGUGUGAAGAAGGCCUUCGGGUUGUAAAGCCCUUUUGUUGGGAAAGAAAAGCAGCAGGUUAAUACCCCGCUGUUCUGACGGUACCCAAAGAAUAAGCACCGGCUAACUUCGUG
Molecule: ribosomal RNA, 492 nt
Filed under: uncultured bacterium
Lineage: Bacteria
Description: partial 16S ribosomal RNA
Rfam family: Bacterial small subunit ribosomal RNA
Source: RNAcentral